Molecule: non-coding RNA, 389 nt
Organism: Phascolarctos cinereus (koala)
Lineage: Eukaryota; Metazoa; Chordata; Mammalia; Diprotodontia; Phascolarctidae
Source: RefSeq, a predicted model, not a curated record
CUCCUCCUCCCGCUCUCCCUCCUCCUCCCCCUCUCCACGUGUAUCGGAGGAGCGGACAGCCAUCUCGGGAGAUUGUAAUAAAGGUCCCAGAAAUGUUAAGAGUGCUGAUCUCAAGACCUAUGUUAAUAAGCAGCAUUUGUCAGCCUCCCCCGCUUCUCCAACUUCUGAACAUUUAAAGAAGACUGAAGCUUACCUAACCUGGAAAAUCCAGGCAUGUUGACAUUAUGUGGAAUUGCAGGCUUAGCGUCACGUGAAGAGCAGAUGUGUUUGUCAUCAGGGAAGCACGUGGCACAGGAGGAUGCUACCUGAAUAGCCUUCCAAACACUAAGCUAGCUCUGACAAUGCAUGUGUCAACCUCAUCAUCUGUGUGUACAUCGCUGGAAAGUUCA